RNAcentral lists this ribosomal RNA (429 nucleotides) under Acidobacteriota bacterium. RNAcentral's name for it is "Acidobacteria bacterium partial 16S ribosomal RNA". It matches the Rfam family "Bacterial small subunit ribosomal RNA", at positions 355 to 776 of the family's 1533-position model. The record is from RNAcentral. Lineage: Bacteria; Pseudomonadati; Acidobacteriota.
UGGGGAAUUUUGGACAAUGGGGGAAACCCUGAUCCAGCCAUCCCGCGUGUGCGAUGAAGGCCUUAGGGUUGUAAAGCACUUUUGGCAGGAAAGAAACGUCAUGGGUUAAUACCCCGUGAAACUGACGGUACCUGCAGAAUAAGCACCGGCUAACUACGUGCCAGCAGCCGCGGUAAUACGUAGGGUGCAAGCGUUAAUCGGAAUUACUGGGCGUAAAGCGUGCGCAGGCGGUUCGGAAAGAAAGAUGUGAAAUCCCAGAGCUCAACUUUGGAACUGCAUUUUUAACUACCGGGCUAGAGUGUGUCAGAGGGGAGUGGAAUUCGGCGUGUAGCAGUGAAAUGCGUCGAUAUGCGGAGGAACACCGAUGGCGAAGGCAGCCUCCUGGGAUAACACUGACGCUCAUGCACGAAAGCGUGGGGAGCAAACAGG